Molecule: transfer RNA, 72 nt
Organism: Thermoplasmatales archaeon SCGC AB-539-C06
Lineage: Archaea; Methanobacteriati; Thermoplasmatota; Thermoplasmata; Thermoplasmatales
Rfam family: tRNA
About the family: Transfer RNA (tRNA) molecules are approximately 80 nucleotides in length. Their secondary structure includes four short double-helical elements and three loops (D, anti-codon, and T loops).
Source: Rfam
GGGCUGGUAGAUCAGUGGAAGAUCGCCACCUUCGCAAGGUGGAGGCCGUGGGUUCAAAUCCCACCCAGUCCA